RNAcentral lists this ribosomal RNA (484 nucleotides) under uncultured bacterium. RNAcentral's name for it is "partial 16S ribosomal RNA". It matches the Rfam family "Bacterial small subunit ribosomal RNA", at positions 30 to 507 of the family's 1533-position model. The record is from RNAcentral.
AUUGAACGCUGGCGGGAUGCUUUACACAUGCAAGUCGAACGGCAGCGCGGACUUCGGUCUGGCGGCGAGUGGCGAACGGGUGAGUAAUGUAUCGGAACGUGCCCAGUAGCGGGGGAUAACUACGCGAAAGCGUAGCUAAUACCGCAUACGCCCUACGGGGGAAAGCAGGGGAUCGUAAGACCUUGCACUAUUGGAGCGGCCGAUAUCGGAUUAGCUAGUUGGUGAGGUAACGGCUCACCAAGGCGACGAUCCGUAGCUGGUUUGAGAGGACGACCAGCCACACUGGGACUGAGACACGGCCCAGACUCCUACGGGAGGCAGCAGUGGGGAAUUUUGGACAAAGGGGGCAACCCUGAUCCAGCCAUCCCGCGUGUGCGAUGAAGGCCUUCGGGUUGUAAAGCACUUUUGGCAGGAAAGAAACGUCGCGGGCUAAUACCCCGUGGAACUGACGGUACCUGCAGAAUAAGCACCGGCUAACUACGUG